CUUAUUGAAGCCUAAAUAAAGUUUUCUUAACAUUUGCAGGUCCCCCAAGCUUCCUGGAAUCUCACCUGUCAGAAUAUUAUGUUCCAAAGCAAGAUAUUCUAACUUGGCCAAUUCUCCAAUCUCUUUAGGUAGGAAGAAGAAAAUUUGUGAAGCAAAUUGAGUGCAGUUUAUGAUUGAAGUGAUACUCACCUUGAAGACUGGCCAUUCUUCCAAUCUCAGGAGGUAUAGCCCCAGAAAGAUUGUUGAAAUCCAGAUACAAUUGAGUCAACUCAGUGAGAUUCCCAAGCUCUCUUGGAAUCUCCCCAUUCAACUUGUUGUAAUGCAAGUAGAGACCAGACAUGCACUUGAGCUCCGCCAGCGCGGGCGACAGUUUUCCGGUGAGCUCCAUGGCCGGCAGCGAAAUGUUACCCACCUUGUGGUGCUCAUUGCAAACCACCCCCAAAAAGGACCCACUGCACGGAUCACCACCACUGGUCCAGGAAGAAAGAAGCCUGUUUUCUGGGUCCAGUGACGCCUUUAUCUCCAUUAAAGCUCUCAGCUCUGCAUUCGCACUAGCAUAAGAAAAUCCAAGAAAUAGAAGAAGCCAAAUGCAGAGAAGAUGUGAAACCAUUUCUGGGUUUUCGUCGCAACCUUUUUUUAACUUCUGCUCUGCAAUUUCGAGAAAGAUUAGCAAGUGUUGGGGAGUUUUCUCGGGGGUGAGAGAAAGCGCAUGUCAGACCCUCACAGAGGCAGAGAUAGAGAUAGAGAGAGAGAUGAACGUAUACCGUGGGAUAAAGGGCGUAUGGUGUACGACUUUUGCGCGUACAAGCUGACACAUGCAUGCACAUUCUUGAAUCACUAUACCCUUUUUUCAAUCAUUUCCUCCCCAUUUCUGCAGUAUUUUUUGGGACACAAGACUAUAAACUACUGCAAACUUUAAAGCA
This is a long non-coding RNA of Ipomoea triloba (trilobed morning glory), 923 nucleotides long. RefSeq lists it as uncharacterized. The record is from RefSeq and is a predicted model, not a curated record. The transcript is spliced from 2 exons. Lineage: Eukaryota; Viridiplantae; Streptophyta; Magnoliopsida; Solanales; Convolvulaceae.